GAUGAACGCUGGCGGCGUGCCUAAUACAUGCAAGUCGAGCGAACGGACGAGAAGCUUGCUUCUCUGAUGCUAGCGGCGGACGGGUGAGUAACACGUGGAUAACCUACCUAUAAGACUGGGAUAACUUCGGGAAACCGUAGCUAAUACCGGAUAAUAUUUUGAACCGCAUGGUUCAAAAGUGAAAGACGGUCUUGCUGUCACUUAUAGAUGGGUCCGCGCUGCAUUAGCUAGUUGGUAAGGUAACGGCUUACCAAGGCAACGAUGCAUAGCCGACCUGAGAGGGUGAUCGGCCACACUGGGACUGAGACACGGUCCAGACUCCUACGGGAGGCAGCAGUAGGGAAUCUUCCGCAAUGGGCGAAAGCCUGACGGAGCAACGCCGCGUGAGUGAUGAAGGUCUUCGGAUCGUAAAACUCUGUUAUUAGGGAAGAACAUAUGUGUAAGUAACUGUGCACAUCUUGACGGUACCUAAUCAGAAAGCCACGGCUAACUACGUG
Molecule: ribosomal RNA, 497 nt
Filed under: uncultured bacterium
Lineage: Bacteria
Description: partial 16S ribosomal RNA
Rfam family: Bacterial small subunit ribosomal RNA
Source: RNAcentral